GCAGGACAGUGGUGCUAAUUGAGUGAGAAAACAUAAUGCAGGGAGCUGUUGUCUGCAGCUGGGGCGGGGGUGACUAAGUGGCCCACCAUUGUUGGUGUCAGGCAGGCAGAUGUUGCGUUCUGUUGAUAACUGCACUGACAUCGCCGGAGCUUGUCACCGCAGCUUCUGCCCAGAGACUCUCGGCUCUGGCGGCAGAUGGCUCUGCUGAAUGGCCACGGAGGGUCCCAGCGGCCAGCCCGGCGUGUGGUGAGUAGGAAGUGGCUGCCUGGUAAACAGGAUGGGGCUCCAGGGCCUCUCCAGGUCCCCUGGGGAGAGUUCCCCGGAUGUUCUCAAGGCCUGAAGCACCUGCGACACUGGGAUAGGAUUGGCCAAGGCCAAAGCCAGGGUUCCUGGACAGAUCUGGAAAACUGUCUGGGCCUGGGCUGGCAGGAGGAAGAGCUGGGUCCUCUAGCCUGGAGAGUAGGCACCAGCUGCCCCAAGGGUGGGGAGAGAGCCAGGGGUGGCCUAGGCCUGGGUGAGGGGACAGGUUUCCUAGAGGGUCCCCCACAGCUGCCAGAGCCCGAAGGCUGUGCCCAGUGCCCCAGCCCAAUACAGCUACUGUGGAGUGGUCUUCUCCAAGGCCUCGGGGGCUCAGGGACAAAGCCCAUCAGACCUCAGCCCGGGGCCCCUCGUUGGCCCUGGCCCACCCACUUUGGUGACUGCUAAUCCCACACACUGGGCCUGGUCCAGGGAGGUCUCCUGGGUUGGUUGGCUUAUGUCUGUGGAAGUGGAUAUCUUAGAUGUACCUCAUAGCUAAGGGUGCACCCAGAGCUCAGGGCAUGCACGCUCAUGCUCCCUAGCAGCGAGCUGCUGCUGUAGCACUGGCAGACUUGGGUACCCCAAUAAGCCUGAUCUAGGACCAGCCCCACCCAGUCCACCUGAAGGCCCUCCAGGGUGACUGUCACAGGGGCCUUGGGCUGGGGACAGGGGCUCCUCCUCUGGGCCAGGAUCUGGAGCCCUCCACUGCCCAGAGAGGUGACCUCAGAGCUGCCCUGGGCCGGCCAGGUGCUUUUUUUUUUUGGUACUGGGGAUCGAACUCGGGUCCUUGCACUUGCGCAGCAGGCAGUGAAACCACUGAGCUAAAUCCCCGGCCCUGGGCCAGGUGCUUUUGACAAGGACUCCCCAAGGCCAGGUUGGUGCCUGGCUCUAGGUGGCCUCAUAAUGAGCCAGAGGUGACCCCUGUCCUCCAGGGCCCCCAGGAGGCAGUGACGGAAGCAGCAUUGAGGGAUGAGCAGGGUUGGGGGAUGGCAUUCCAGGUAGAGGGCCCCACAAUGCCUCAGGACUCCAGGGGACACCCCAGAAUAACCCAUCCCAUGCAGGGAAUGCUCAUUGGAUACCCAGCACUUUUCUCUCAGGCCCGUGGGAGCUCUGAAAGGAAAACUGAGGCCCUAAAUGGGGGUUCUGCUCAGGCUGCCUGGGUGGUAGACCCUGUAGGAAUCUGUCACCAGGAAGCUCCACACCCCAUCACCCACCCCUCUUGUCUGGCAGCGCCUCAAGGGCCCAGUGGGAUCCGUCCCUCCUGAUCCCCAGGCAGAACGAAGCUGCUGUCCAGGUGUGGAUGGGUAGAGCCCCAGGUUCAAAUUUCAGCUCCAUGGUGUGGGCAGCACUUCCUCGGGCCCUGGGGGGGCAGCUGAUGACUCUCACGAAUGGGAUCAGAGCGAGGGGCAGGGGGACCAAACUCAGCUGGGUCUGGUGAGGGGCUGCAGCUCCUACUGCAAGCCUCCAGGGCAGAUCUCUAUCUUUGCUGAUGCUCAGCAGCCCUGUCCCACACCAGGUCACCCUCCCAACACGUCAGACAAGGUGGCUUCACCAUUAUAGAUUAUUCUAGGUUUCACUCAACUCCAGAUGGUUCUCUGAGAUUUGUUUCUCUGUGCUUUUCUGUAUUUUCCAGGUAUUUCUCAAGGGCAUUUUUUUUUAAGUACUGUGGAUUGAAUCCAGAACCUUUGCACUGAGCUGCAUUCCCAGGACCCCCCUAUUUAAAAAAAAAUGUUUUUUGGAUACAGGCUCUCUCUAAGUCACUAAGUCUCCCAGGCUUUCCAUCCGCUUGCCUCAGCCUCCCAGAGCAGUAGGGUUGCAGGCAGGCACCUCCAUCCUCAGCUCAGUGGAGAAUUUAUAAUCAGAGGAAUGAGGAUGUGUGCGUAACCCACAUUCGGAUGUGGGUGGUGCUCUGAUGAACCAACCAGGGACACCUGGGGGUCAUCGCAUGGGUGUGGCUAGGCUGCCCUUAGCACUGCCCCUUCCUGGGCCUGGGGCCUGGCCCUGAGUGGCCCCCUCCUGAGACCCCCAUCCACACAUGGACAGGCUGACUCCGGGUCUAUGUGCCCAUUGCACAGCUACAAUGCACAGAACCACCAGCCCUGCCCCACCCCACUCCUCCAAGCUCACCUUGGGUCCCCUCAACUGAGAGCCAACCCUGGGCAGAUGGUCAAAUUUCUGUGACCACCAUCAGUACCCGAGGGGCAGCCCAUGUGCCUGGUUCUCUGAGGGCAGCUGAGAAGGUGCACGGCAGGCUCCUAAUGGGUGCUGUGGAAGGGGUCCCUGGUGCAUGCCAGGCCUCCCCAGGUAAACCCCAGCCAAGUGCUGACCUCUUAGCUUCCAUUACAUCCAGCUUCAGUUACAUUCACCCCUGGGGCUCUAGAGGGACCUGGGGAAGACUGGUGGGGCCUCAGCUGGGAGGCUGGAUGGUGACUCAGACAGGGUUUGGACUAGGGCAGGGGGAAGGGAUAUCCGGCCACAGGUGAGAAGCUGGGUGAGGCUUCAGGCCGCAUCCUGGGCACCUCCAGGAGGAGAGGUCGGCCUUGUGCAGGAACCCUUCAGUGGGGUAGUCACUCAUCACCUCAGACUCUGAACCUUACCGGGAAACUGACACCACCAGCAGGCUACCUCCCGGUGGGGGAGGGCAGAUAUGCUCUACUGCACACAGGUGAGCUGGUAUCAUUAACCAGAGUGAUGAGCUGGUGGCUAAAGAGCGCUGGGCACCCAAGCAGCUGGACCAGAACUGACCCACUGAGGGGAUGCCAAUAGCAGGGAGACUGAAUCUUGGACCUGCAGCCUGGGCACUGACCUGGGGGAUGUGGGCCUAGGCAGGGUCUCAGCCCCCAACACAGACCAGCAUGGGGCCAAGUCAGGGAUCCAAUGGACAGAGUGAGGGACAGGGGUCUGGGGGCUCUGGGCAGGGCUGGGGCUGCUUUGAGGAACCAGAGGACACGUGUAGGUUCCAUAGGACUAUUCCCAGCUCUUGGGGCUCCUCCUAGCCUAGCACUUAGAGUCAUUGAGAAUGAUGCAAGUGACAGGUUUGUGUGUGUUUGUUAAUUUACUUAGAUUCAUUCACAGGAACAGCUGGCUGGGUCCCGCCGGGCAGCCUCGCCUGCCCACCUGCCGCCAGACUGCUGGCUCCACACAGCGUGCUCACAGCCUCAGCGGCCGUGGCCCUGGCUGCCUGGACACCCACUCCUCCCUGGUGCUGGCCAGGGACCUUGCCUGGCAUGGUUGGAGAGUGCUGGAGGGCCAGCCACGCCUGAACAGGAAACCAGUGCUGGACACCAGCCUAAGGGACUGGGCAAGCCCUCAACCCCCCUGGGCCUCUGUCUGGAUCUUCCUGUUCCUUCCGGUUCCUCCAUCCUGGAAUUGGGGGACUCUAGGAUGCCCAGCCCCUCAACCCUCUGCAACCCAGGGGGACUGGCCACCCAAAGCUGUGGUGUGGGUAGAACUUGUUGAGAGAGGAGGAAGAGCCAGACAAGUCCUGGCACCCCACCCUCUGAUAAGCCCUGAAGGGGCCAGCCUGGGCUGAGCAUAGAGGAGAGAAUUCAGCCUGUGCCCUGCACCGGAGGGUUGUUGAUCGCACCUACCAGUGCCAUCACGUCUGGUCUGGGAUGGUGACAGAGGUUUGAGCACAGAGAGCUCGUUCAUAGAGUAGACAGCUUCCUCCCCUUCAUCUCCCUGUCCCCACAGCUUUGUUAUUUAAAGUCAGGUUAAGGAAAGGAAAAAAACAACCCACAGACAGGUUUGGCUGGGAAGCUUCGAGACAGGAAAAGUUAGAGAUAUUUAUUUGACAGGGUCAAGGUUGGAGCCCCUCUCUCCCUCUCUCCCCAGGUCCCAUAGGUGUUAGGCUGAGAGACAUUUAAUCGCGGGAGUAGCGGUUUCAUAUCUAUAACAAAAAUCAAAUAAUGCAAGAUGAUUUACUCCCCCUAGCAACCGUGGAGCUCACCCUUAGCAACCAGGCUAGCCUCGGGCUGCGGUGUAAUCAGCUUGAAAAUAUUUCAAUUAUUGUGUUGAUUUUAGUGGAUUUGAGAAGCGCUGUGUGGAGAGCCGGGCACAUUCUCCCCGCGACCUGGAGAGGAAGAUAUUGAUUUAAACAGGUGUCAGGGAGGGAAAGUAGAGUAAAUUUAAAUGCGACGGGAGAGCGGCACGUUGCACGCGGAACGGGGCGGGGAUGACAUUUUGCGCAUUGCCUUGAACGAAAGUGACUCAACUGGACUAGAAAUUUCACCUUGAAAAUCAUCUCCCAUCGACACAAUCAAACACCCCUACCACGACACCCCUGCAUCCCCCAAGGCAGUAGGGAGGGCUGGAGUGGCAGCAGAGGGGACUCCCAGUGUCCUCAGGCUGUAGAGGCCUGGUCUCCUGCAGUAUCCCCAGGAGGCCCUUUGGAGGGGCCAGGGGCACAGGCCCAGGGACCCGUGGCCUCCUGCCUCCUGGCCUCUGAGUCCCCCUCUGCAACCCAGGCAGGUGUUUCCUGAGGGCCCUGUGGCCUGCUGUCCCUCUGAGACCUCUGUGAGACCCAGCCAUCACCUAGCUUCUUGGGCCCUGGCAACCAGAGGUCCUCCGAGUGCACAAACGUGGCUUGAGGACAGGGCCACCCCUUUCCUGCUCCCAGCUGUCCAGGAGGAAAGGAGGAGACAGGCCUGGCUGCCAUACCCCCACCCCAGAAGUAGAGGCAGCCAGAGGGAGGAGGGCCAGGCCUGCCAGGCCCUGUGGUCUCAGCCCAAGGCUCCCCUGAGCCCCAUCCUCCUCCUGAGACUGGAGGCAAACUUGGGCCAGGUGAUGUGGUGCAGCUGUGCAUCUUGGCUUCCCCCUUGAGCUGGUCCUGGGGUGGGGGUUUUGAGCCACUUCUGGUCUACAUGACCCUGAGAACCCCAAAUGGAAAGGUCCAGGACAUGUUCUGGGUGCUCUCCUCUUCCUUUGAAGCUUCCCAAUGUGGAGAUGCUGGGGAGGCUUCUCUGUUUCCCUACCUCAGGCAGCUCUUCCUCUAUGACCCUCAGGGUGGACAAGAAGGGCCUCUGGCUGGUACUGCCCAGGCUGGACAGGUGACCUCUUCCACGUCCAGAGCUGCUGCCCCAAUAGGGCCCUGAGGGGCUGAGCACAGGCCUUCCUCGGGGCUGGACACUGACCAGGUCCUCCAGCUCCUCCUGCUGUGACAGCAGAUGUAGCCAGGUGAGGUCAGGUGUAGCCCGGCUGACCUCAGUCCACAUGCUGGGCACCAAGCCGAGUGGGGAGGCCAACCUCACCCAGCUCAUGACCAUCAGCUCCAGGGGCUGGAGGAGGAAGCAUCCACCUGUGACCCAGCCUGGCAAGAGGACGGCCACUGGUGGACAGGAAGGACCUCAGGCCUCAUGCACAGGGCCGCUCCAGGCCACCUCAAGGCAGUGCUGUAAUAGCAGGCCAUAAACUGCCCCUGUGGGAAGACCCCCAGCAGCAUCUCACCGCCCUGGAAGGAGACUGGCAAGCAUGUACAAUCUGUCCCUGUCCCCAGCCCCAUACCUGUCCUCCCACCUAGUCUGCUUCCCCCUAAACAAUCUUUCCCUUUCAGCCCUACGUGGCCUGUCCUUCCCUGCAACCCUAUGCAAUUGCCCACCUCCCUCUGACCAUGGUCCUCUGCUGUGGCUGGACAUUUAGGUCAGCCGGGCCACAGGGCUCUUGCCUCUGCUGCUCCCUGCUGAGAAGGCUUCUCUCAGCACUCUGCAUGGCCUCUCCUCCACUGCCUCUCCUCCACUGCCUCUGGAGGUCCUUUUUAUCCUCUGCAGUACUAGGGAUUGAACCCAGGGCCCUCACACUGAGCUAUAUCCUCAGCCAUUUUUAUUUUGAGACUCAUGAAGACUCACAGAGACUCAUGAAGUCACUCAAUCGUCCAGGCUCAAAUCCAUUAAGUCAAUGCUCCUGCCUCAGCCCUCAAGAGUGCCAAGAUUAUAGGUAGGUGUCACCAGGCCUGGCUUUCUGAGAGGUCUUUUCUGGCCAACCUGGAUAAAGCAGCUCCUUUUUCUUGUGCCUUGGCCUUAUUUCUGAUAUGACACUGAUCAGCACAGCACCUAGAACUGCCCAGGACAACCAGGUGGUACCUGCUGCCUGCUGCAUGCCAGGUAACAAGGUGUGGGGGCCAGGAGCCAGUGGCACCUGGUCAGAGGCCCAGAGUCUCUUGCAAAAUUGAGCUGAUUCACCCUUUCUGAGGUUUAGUUCUGCAUCUGCAAGUGGGGGCCCAGGGUCCUCUGCCCGUCUCUCAGUGCUGCAGUAAGCCCUGAGUAGGUGGGGCUGGGAACAGGGCCUGGCCUCUCUCUUUCCACCCUUCACAGGAAGAGAACUUGAACACUGGUCUCCACGGUGACCCUGGACAGACACCGCAGCAGAAGACAGGGGCUUCCGAGGCCCCUGCACAGCCACAGGACUGGUAACCAGGGAGCUACUGGGGGCAAGGCUUGAGGAAGACCCUCCCAUCGUGAGCAGCUUGGGUCUGGAUCCUGGAGUUCUGGGAAACAGGUGACAAGAAUCGUGGCUGUGCCGCCAGAUUUUCAUGGGACCCCAGGCAGUUCCCCAUCCUUGGGACACUCAGACGGCUCCACGGGGACAGGGACAGUUCUAGUGUUUACGGUCAUUCCCACACUCACAAAUGCAUCUGAUCCAGGCCCCAGGGACUCCUGGAAGUUGUUAUCAGGUGUCAUGUGCCUGUCACUUUCCAGGGGCAAGGCCCCCAGCUCUCACCAGGCUUCUCUAGGGGCAUCUCUCUGUUUUCCCCCCAAACAACCCCAGAAGACCCGAGGUGGGCGACCACUCCACACCACCUGUAAGUGGGAGCCGGGCUGCCAGCCCAUACCCCUCCAAGUAUGCUUAAUAUGGGCUGGAUUUACCACAAACACAGUUCUCCCUAGGUUUCCUGGCCCCUUUAGAAAAGCAAUAUGCCACCUAAAUGUGUGUUUUUAUUACUUUCUCUAUUAUAAGUAAAAAUAUUGUAAUACCAUCUGACGAUCCACCAGCUGUCUGCGCAAACGGUGGGUGCUGUUCCAGGGAAGUUGGGCUGUGGGUGUGGGACCGCUAUCUGGGGAGGGCACUCUUGGAUUUCUGCUGAGACUGGCCCCACAUAUGCCAGGCCACAUGUUCCUGGGCUGGGAGCUGAUAAUUGUGCCCAUUUAUCUUAUGAUAGCUGAAAGCUGCAAAACACUAUAAAAGAGCAGUAGUGG
This 7487-nucleotide long non-coding RNA is filed under the name Heterocephalus glaber (naked mole-rat). RNAcentral describes it as "lncRNA (ENSHGLG00000049804.1)". The record is from RNAcentral. Lineage: Eukaryota; Metazoa; Chordata; Mammalia; Rodentia; Bathyergidae.